Potamilus streckersoni is the source of this 73-nucleotide non-coding RNA. Lineage: Eukaryota; Metazoa; Mollusca; Bivalvia; Unionida; Unionidae. The record is from the annotation of a GenBank genome assembly.
GCUUCUGUGGCCUAGUGGUCAAAACGUCCGCUUCGGAUGCAGGAGGUCGCGGGUUCGAACCUCGACAGAGUCA